This 253-nucleotide ribosomal RNA is filed under the name uncultured bacterium. Its description in RNAcentral is "partial 16S ribosomal RNA". It matches the Rfam family "Bacterial small subunit ribosomal RNA", at positions 524 to 776 of the family's 1533-position model. The record is from RNAcentral.
UACGGGGGGGGCAAGCGUUGUUCGGAAUUACUGGGCGUAAAGGGCUCGUAGGCGGCCAACUAAGUCAGACGUGAAAUCCCUCGGCUUAACCGGGGAACUGCGUCUGAUACUGGAUGGCUUGAGUUUGGGAGAGGGAUGCGGAAUUCCAGGUGUAGCGGUGAAAUGCGUAGAUAUCUGGAGGAACACCGGUGGCGAAGGCGGUUCUCUGGGCAUGUCCUGACGCUGAGGAGCGAAAGUGUGGGGAGCGAACAGG